Long non-coding RNA from Cuculus canorus (common cuckoo), 3295 nucleotides. RefSeq lists it as uncharacterized. The record is from RefSeq and is a predicted model, not a curated record. NCBI's taxonomy places the organism in Eukaryota, Metazoa, Chordata, Aves, Cuculiformes, Cuculidae. The transcript has 7 exons.
GUUUGUGCAAAAUCAUGUCUUAAAAAGACCUAAAAAAACCCCUUUUAGCCCAUACCUAAUCUGACUCUGCCACGUUCUCCCAGCAGUGACAUGCCCGAGGUCCCACAAGAAGUCUGUGGCAGAGAAAGGACCAGGAGUGCUGCUUUUCUUCACCUCGGUCCUGCAUUAAUGGAUCACUUGUUCCAGCUGGGAUUGAUUUCAGCCAGAGCCUGGCUUCUCCGAGGCAAGGUUAGUGUGUCCUCACCAUCCGUGCUUCUACUGCCAAAGGUGGAGGAGGGGAGAAAACGGAGCUGAGAUCGUGUAAAGUGAUCAUUACAGGAAAAAAAGAGACUGAAAACGCAUUUAUUUCUGCCUCCUAUCUGUGACUUUUAAGCUGUCUUUGAGUAACUGGGUGGCUGCUGGGGAUAGCAGGAACCCAACUAUCCUCUCUGCUGUUCUCUGUCAAGAUGACACAGCUCUGAAAGAAAUUAGAAAUAUGUUUUUUCAUCUUGCUGCCGUAAGAGCUUAGAAAAUACUUGUCCAGAAGCUGGUCAAGGUCAUAUAAAACCAUCUAAUGACCAGUGUGUCAGUCAAGGAGAUGUGCCCUGGUUUCUCCUGCCCAGGUGGCCACCACCACCUCUGCCCAGCCACAGUGCUCACCCCAGUGUACGCAGCAGAGGGGAUUUCAAUGGACCUGAUGGCAAAGCCUGAGAUAAUUAUUCCAUUGUACUUACACUGGAGUAAUUUAUUUUGCAAGCAAGUUGGGCUCUGGAGAGAAGAAAACAGCUCAUUGCUUGCCAAAUUCCCCGAGAUCCUGUCCUAGGUUUUUUGUCUGAGGACAUCAGAAGGCUCACUUCUUCCCUGCCAUCAUCUUUUGGCAGGAAAAAGCCGUGAUGAAGCCGUGGGAGAUGGUGCAUUAGCUCCGUUGGUGGAGCCAUCCAGCAAGUCUUUACUUGGGAAGCCAGGACAGCACUUGGGUCUCUGCCUGCUUUGCAUUACCCUCCCUGAAGCGUUGGCUCAUUGUUGACCCCACAGGGGGGCUGGAGGGAUCCCACAGCAUGCACGCCAACCCAGAGGGCCUAGUGAGCAAUUUCUGGCCACCUCUAGGGAUAAUUUGCAUUUCUUUUGGUCGCACCGGCCCACCUUAAUGAGCAGUUCUGCCUUGCGUUUGACUUUUUUUUUUCCCAGGAUAGCAGAUUUUGGAGGUUACAAAGAAGCAGAAAAUCUGCAAACUUUAUUAAAGAGGAAAACGUUUAAUAAAACGCGAAACCAGAGCAUAUUCUGCGGUGCUCUGGAAAUGCUCCCGGCGUUCCCUGGUGUGAACACACAAGGACGCCCCGGCAAACUCUGCAGCACCUCUCAGGUGCCUUUUUCUCUUCUAACUCCAAAUUUUACUAAUACAACUUCACUUUGGGCUGAAUAUCCCAGCAGAUCUAUUGGCUUGUUUAACGGAGAGGUAGUUCAUACGUUCCAGCUCUCUGCAGCUGAACGUAGGAAUUAUCCAGCGAUGGUUGUGGUCUGCAGUCCCAUGGCAGUGGGUAGUGACGUGAGAAAAACUGGAGGAACACUGCAGGUGAUGCUUUUAAUACAGCUCAGAAACUUUGGUUCACGGGAAGCGCCACAAGAAACUAUUUUGCCUGCACCCACCUUGGGAAGAUUUAUUUUAUGCUUAGCUUUAAGCUAUGCUUAUGUGAGUGCCAGAACCUGGAAGAUGAAUAGCUGUUGGAUUCUUCGUUCCCUCCCUGGUCCAGGAGCCUGUUCAAGAUAGAGACUAUGACGAUCAUCGGUUAUCAGCUCUCCAUAACGUGGAGCAGAGCAAGCAGAAAUACCAAAUCAUCCAGCUGGAGCUGUUGGAUGAAGUGAGGAGGAGCAGUCCUGGUCACUGAGAGUCACCACCCAUGGCAAAAGGAGCACUUGACAGAUCGAGAGGUUUAGUAAGUUCUAUUUUCAGAUGGAGGCAUCAGUGCCACGUUGGGAAGAACAAAAUAUUUGCCUUCUGCUAAAGCAAGCCGGCGUUUUACCGCAGCACCCUCUGUGCUCUCAAUUAUCUGCAGCCCGUGUGUAAAUUUAUCUCACUUUUGCGAGCCACUGGAAGAAGAAGCUUUCCUGUCAAGGAGGAAGGCAUGAAUAAAGGGGAGACGUGAGCAGACAGAAAGGCACCUCCAGCUAGGACAAGGAGAGCCUAAAGCAGGGAGGCACACCCAAGGAGGAGAAAACCCAGCCUGCUAACGAAGGAGGUUUCAGCUCUCGUUCGGACCCUGGUCAAGAAAACAGAACACAUUGUUUGUGAUGGCAGCCUCCACCGAAACGGCUCAGGAGCCAAGUUAAGGCUAAGGAGGAAAUUCAGCCUCUCCAAAGAUGAAAGGUCUGCAUGCUUUCUUCCCUUCUCUCUGCCGGUUCCCACGCGUGCCUCGCUCUGCUUAGUGCGGCCCCAUCAUCUGCCAGGCAAGGAGAGGUCCCAGGGCUGGUCACCAUCAGUGGUUUGGUGCUGAGCUGCUCAUUAGCUGCUCAUUACCAAGCACAAAAUGUCUUGUAGUGGACAUGGUGACUGAGUGCACCUUUGGGUGAUACCUCUCCCAAGAAGAUCCCACACAGGAGUGUGACAAGCUGAGUGAGACGUGUGCUCAGAUUGAGACGCGAGGAAGCUGGUUGGUAGCACUGGGACCUCAGGGCUGCUCCAAGGAGUGGUUUCGCAGGCUGGGUGACGUGGGACAGAGAAUGAGAAGGUAAAUUGGAGCCACCUCAGUGGACCUUGGGAGUGCUGGGCUUAGAUCAACAUUGCAAGCCAGGAGUCUUUGCAGACCUUGAGCCUUAUUCAGGCUGGCAAAGUGACAGCAGCACAGCCGUGAUGCUUUAAUUCAUCCAGUGUGUGGAACCCCUACUUUAGGACCAAAAAGCCUAUGAUGUACAUGAUAUAAACUCCUGUUCCCUCUGCUAGGAAACAGAAACCAGGCUGAGCACGACUGUGUUAUGGUCACUGUUGGCUGAGUGGGUGGGUGCAUCCCCUGCGGUGGUUCUUUCAGGAAGAUACGGACUAAUUUAAUUGGUAAAAACUCUUCCGUAAAUUAAAAGUUCAGGCUCUCGGCUCAUGUUUUUAAACUUUAAGCACAUCUGGUUUCUUUGCUAAAGGCUCUUGCUCCUGUAGGAGAGCUAUAAUAAUGUCAAAACCUUAUUUAAUAGGGGGGAGACGCGUGGUGGAGGCGUGAGGUGGGUUUUAAUUGUAUUUCUUGCCCCAUACCUGGAGCUGUGUGAUGUCGAAUGAUGCAACACUGCCGAGCUCCCCAUCAACAUCAUCCCAUGCUGUGGGAUUUCCCAU